UAGGGAAUAUUGGACAAUGGGGGGAACCCUGAUCCAGCCAUGCCGCGUGGAGGAAGACUGCCCUCUGGGUUGUAAACUCCUUUUAUAUGGGAAGAACCGUCCUCAUUGAUGAGUGACCUGACGGUACCAUAGGAAUAAGCACCGGCUAACUCCGUGCCAGCAGCCGCGGUAAUACGGAGGGUGCAAGCGUUAUCCGGAUUCACUGGGUUUAAAGGGUGCGUAGGCGGAUAUGUAAGUCAGUGGUGAAAUCAACGGGCUCAACCUGUUAACUGCCAUUGAUACUGUGUAUCUUGAAUAUGAGAGAGGUAGGCGGGAUGUUGCAUGUAGCGGUGAAAUGCUUAGAUAUGCUACGGAACACCGAUUGCGAAGGCAGCUUACUAUUUCGUAAUUGACGCUGAGGCACGAAAGCGUGGGUAGCGAACA
Molecule: ribosomal RNA, 423 nt
Filed under: uncultured bacterium
Lineage: Bacteria
Description: bacterial SSU rRNA
Rfam family: Bacterial small subunit ribosomal RNA
Source: RNAcentral